Molecule: ribosomal RNA, 207 nt
Filed under: uncultured Actinomycetales bacterium
Lineage: Bacteria; Bacillati; Actinomycetota; Actinomycetes; Actinomycetales
Description: partial 16S ribosomal RNA
Rfam family: Bacterial small subunit ribosomal RNA
Source: RNAcentral
CUGCCCUUAACUCUGGGAUAAGCCUGGGAAACUGGGUCUAAUACCGGAUAGGAGCGCCUACCGCAUGGUGGGUGUUGGAAAGAUUUAUCGGUUUUGGAUGGACUCGCGGCCUAUCAGCUUGUUGGUGAGGUAAUGGCUCACCAAGGCGACGACGGGUAGCCGGCCUGAGAGGGUGACCGGCCACACUGGGACUGAGACACGGCCCAG